Molecule: long non-coding RNA, 1605 nt
Filed under: Heterocephalus glaber (naked mole-rat)
Lineage: Eukaryota; Metazoa; Chordata; Mammalia; Rodentia; Bathyergidae
Description: lncRNA (ENSHGLG00000048101.1)
Source: RNAcentral
AGAAUAAAUGCCUAAAUGUCUUCUUAGAAAUAUGAGGCUUUGAAAUACUGCUCAGUUAUGUCAUGGGUCUUGCUCCUCAGCUUCCUCUGAAUUUGUAGUAUCUCUAGUCAAAGGAAGGGUGAGGUUUAACAUUUCAGUCCACAAAAACUUUUACUGGAGAGGGUUAAACAUAACGAUUGGGCAAGGUUUGUCUGUCUCCUUGUCCAGCUUGCUUUUUAAAGCAAAAAUUCCCCUGACAGGGAGUACUUUUAAAUUUCAAAUCCUUUAGGGGAUAAUUGGCCAGACUGCUCGGCAGGAGCCACAGCAAAAUCCAAGCAGGCAGCUGUGGGACUGCUAUAGCCGGCCCUUUGCUCGGGCCUUUCUGAGCAGGAAGCGAGUCGCUCGCUGCCCCCGGGUGCGGGCGCGCAGGACCAGCAGCUGCCCCCAGCCACGGGCGCGCCACCUGUUUCCGCCUGGGACUUCCCCCAGCCGGCUCCGAAGUGUGGAGUCAGCAGCUUGGCCUGGCCCGGCAUCAGGGGCCCAGCGCAGCCCUACCCCACCGCCGCCUCCCGUGAGGCCCCGCCUGGAAGAGGCGUGGACUGCACCCUGGUGCGCGCGUUCUGGGCUUGGCCUUGAAAAUCAGGAUGGCGAUGACCGCUGAGCAGUAACCAUCUGAGAUGCUUCUGACAUUGUCACGCCACUCCUAAAUACCUGUAUCUCCUAUGAACAAAAUGCAGUCCACUGACACAGUCAUCAAGAAAUGGCAGAGAAAGAAAGAAUCUGGAUUUCCAAGGUUACCUGUCUCCUUCAGUUUUCUUGUCAUUCAUGUAUUAAUAUUAGUUAAGGAAAUAAACCAGGUAUAAAAAUUUUGCUGUGCGAUAACCCAUAUACACAUAAUAAAACUGACUUUAUUAUCAUAAUUUAAGUCCACAAUGAAUACAUGUCUUUUGAAAGGGGAGAAAAAUAUGAACAAUCCAACAUCAUUAUUUUAGAAUUGUUUUUGUUUUCCACAGAAGUCUUACCACUGAGUACGCCUCAUAUAUCUUCCUAUUUAUAUGUAAAGUUUAGCCUAGACUGAAAAGGUUUGAAUUAAUAGGGGUUGGAAGGCUAUACCCUAAAAAUGCCCUGGAAGAGAGGGGAACAACCUUUUCAUUAUGCAUGCAGUGAAAGUCUGCUGCACUGUUGGGAAAAGCAUAGAAGAGUGGUUUCUCCUAAUCCACAGUGAUUUGUAUGCUGCUGUUGUCCACCUACCUGGUGCAAAGGCAAACACAGCAAAACAUUCUCCCGAUGGAAGCGACUGCAGUGAUUACUGAGCGUCUUUUUUGUCAAAGUACUGUGAUAGGAUGGUGACAGUUGGGAGAAAACUAAAGCAGUAUCCCAAACCUGUGGGCAAAAGUCAGAAGAGAAGACAGAAGCACACGCUGAUGGAUACUGGAAGGAUGGGUUCAGAGACGGAGGAUUUUUGUUUUUAGGAGCCAAGUAACUCAUUGUGGAAAACGGUAAUCAGCAAACAAAAAUGGGUUUCAUCAAAGGUCUAGAUACGUUGCAACAGUUGUUGUAGGACACUAGGAGCAUAAAAAGUGUUUUCUGUUUCGUUUUUCACUUUUCUGCAUUUUUCAAGUAUAU